Long non-coding RNA from Macadamia integrifolia, 464 nucleotides. RefSeq lists it as uncharacterized. The record is from RefSeq and is a predicted model, not a curated record. NCBI's taxonomy places the organism in Eukaryota, Viridiplantae, Streptophyta, Magnoliopsida, Proteales, Proteaceae. The transcript is spliced from 2 exons.
CUCUCUCUCUCUCUCUCUCUCUCUCUCUCUCUCUCAUGAAAUAAAGAGCUAUUGACUAGUUAAUUAUGAAUAUUUCAGAUUGAUGUUUACAGUGGAGGGCGGUUGACAGUUCAAGGAAUCGAUUGUGGAGCGACGUGCUACUUCAAACACAGCAAAGCGUCAAGGCAAAAGAUAUGCAUAAGGGAUUGCAACACAUGCUGCAAACGGUGUGGAUGUGUGCCACCAGGGACUUAUGGGAACCCUGAUCCUUGCCCUUGCUAUGCCCACAUGACCACCCAUGGUGGUAGACUCAAAUGCCCCUGAACAACAACAACAACAACAACAAAUAUUGGAUAUAGAUAUUUCUGUGAAACUUGGAUAUAGAUAUAUAUGUUCUUUGGGUAUCCAAUAUUGUAAGAUCAAAUUCUGAAAGGGAACAAAAGGAUAAAGGAGUAUUACUGUUUGUAACAAAAUAAAGUUCUCUA